RNAcentral lists this ribosomal RNA (487 nucleotides) under uncultured bacterium. RNAcentral's name for it is "partial 16S ribosomal RNA". It matches the Rfam family "Bacterial small subunit ribosomal RNA", at positions 28 to 507 of the family's 1533-position model. The record is from RNAcentral.
GAUGAACGCUAGCGAUAGGCUUAACACAUGCAAGUCGAGGGGCAGCACAAGGUAGCUUGCUAUCUGGGUGGCGACCGGCGCACGGGUGCGUAACGCGUAUGCAACUUGCCCUAUACAGGAGGAUAACCCGUCGAAAGACGGACUAAUACUGCGUAUGCUCACAACUUGGCAUCAAGUGGUGAGGAAAGAAAUUCGGUAUAGGAUAGGCAUGCGUCCCAUUAGCUUGUUGGUGAGGUAACGGCUCACCAAGGCAACGAUGGGUAGGGGAACUGAGAGGUUUAUCCCCCACACUGGUACUGAGACACGGACCAGACUCCUACGGGAGGCAGCAGUGAGGAAUAUUGGUCAAUGGGCGCGAGCCUGAACCAGCCAAGUCGCGUGAAGGAUGACUGUCCUAUGGAUUGUAAACUUCUUUUAUACGGGAAUAACAAGAGUCACGUGUGACUCCCUGCAUGUACCGUAUGAAUAAGCAUCGGCUAACUCCGUG